Molecule: non-coding RNA, 275 nt
Organism: Cinara cedri
Lineage: Eukaryota; Metazoa; Arthropoda; Insecta; Hemiptera; Aphididae
Source: the annotation of a GenBank genome assembly
GUUAAUUAUUUGCUUCAUAAAUAAUAAAUAUCGAGUUUUAUUAAUUUAGAUUCUUAUUCCUCCUAGCUAUUCAGGAUUGACUUCCCUGACUUGAAUUCCAUUCACAACAAUCUAUCACAUCACCUAUGCAUAUAUCAUAUACACUGAUUUUUCAUGUUCCAUUGCAUCCAUGGGCAGUUCUUGUUAAAUUUCAAACAUAUAUGUACAAAAAAUUUAAAUUACGAUUACAAGAAAGUGUUUGCAAUAAAAACUAAAAAUUUAAAUUUAUAAAUAAU